AUAGAACGCUGGCGGAAUGCUUUACACAUGCAAGUCGAACGGCAGCACGGACUUCGGUCUGGUGGCGAGUGGCGAACGGGUGAGUAACAUAUCGGAACGUAUCCAAUAAUGGGGGAUAACUAAUCGAAAGGGUGGCUAAUACCGCAUACGCCCUACGGGGGAAAGCAGGGGAUCUUCGGAGCUUGCGUUAAAGGAGCGGGUGAUAUCUGAUUAGCUAGUGGGUGGGGUAAAGGCUCACCAAGGCGACGAUCAGUAGCUGGUCUGAGAGGACGACCAGCCACACUGGAACUGAGACACGGUCCAGACUCCUACGGGAGGCAGCAGUGGGGAAUUUUGGACAAUGGGCGCAAGCCUGAUCCAGCCAUUCCGCGUGAGUGAAGAAGGCCUUCGGGUUGUAAAGCUCUUUCGCAAGGGAAGAAAACUUACUUUCUAAUAAAGAGUGAGGUUGACGGUACCUUGAUAAGAAGCACCGGCUAACUACGUGCCAGCCGCCGCAGUAA
Molecule: ribosomal RNA, 500 nt
Filed under: uncultured bacterium
Lineage: Bacteria
Description: partial 16S ribosomal RNA
Rfam family: Bacterial small subunit ribosomal RNA
Source: RNAcentral